Molecule: non-coding RNA, 21 nt
Filed under: Arabidopsis thaliana (thale cress)
Lineage: Eukaryota; Viridiplantae; Streptophyta; Magnoliopsida; Brassicales; Brassicaceae
Source: RNAcentral
UAUACACUUAUAUUUCGGGCA